UAGACGUCUCGAGAUGGAGUCAAUCGGGAUCUCACUGAGGCUGUUCCUCGACUUCCGGGAGAAACACUAAUCACUGACAAAGAAGUUAUUUACAUAUGUCCUUUCAAUGGCCCCAUUAAGGGAAGAGUUUACAUCACAAAUUAUCGUCUUUAUUUAAGAAGUUUGGAAACGGUAAGUAGAAUAUAAGACCAUAAAGAUGACCCUAACUGUUAAAGAUAAUGCUAAAUUGUUUCUCUUCUACUUUGCAAGAUUGACUGUGGGUCAAAUUAACAUGGGGUAUAUUUGCUUCUCAACUCUUAAUUUUUU
This 306-nucleotide long non-coding RNA is filed under the name Pan troglodytes (chimpanzee). Its description in RNAcentral is "long non-coding RNA NONPTRT018385". The record is from RNAcentral. Lineage: Eukaryota; Metazoa; Chordata; Mammalia; Primates; Hominidae.